RNAcentral lists this ribosomal RNA (1572 nucleotides) under Triticum aestivum (bread wheat). RNAcentral describes it as "partial small subunit ribosomal RNA". Lineage: Eukaryota; Viridiplantae; Streptophyta; Magnoliopsida; Poales; Poaceae. The record is from RNAcentral.
AUGGGGCCUGCAAUUUUUUUUAACACGAUACAGACGCAAGCGCUCAUAUACACACGCACACCGUAUCCCUAUGAGCACCUUCGAAAGACUGAGCCGGCAUAUCAUCUUGAAUGCAUUUUGGCUCAAGUAAUUAAAUGCCUAGAAAAACAUGUUUUUUUAGAGACACGUUUUGGGCCGAGAGGCCGCCGCAGUUGUGUUUUAUUCUUGGGCCGAAGAUGCGGGAGACACGGAGCUGACAGCAGAGUGUCCCCCUUCCGGGUUCGGCAGCUCGCCUCCACCAUCUCGUACGCGCCGCCGCCGCCGUCGUCCCGUCCGUCGCCGCAAUCCCCAUCGCGCUUUGAGGUGCAAGCAGGAGCAGCCCGCGCACCGGGGUACGGGAUGAAGAAGAGGAAGAAGGUGGAGGAGGACGAGGAGCAGAAGCAGCCGGCGGCGGAGGAGAGCUCCUGUGGGGUCGAACUGCUGCCGGAGAUCCUCCGGGAGAUCCUGUCGCGGGUGCCGUACCGGUCGCUGUGCCGCUUCAGGUGCGUGUCGAAGGCGUGGCUGGCGCUCUGCUCCGACCCGGCCGUCCGCAGGAGGUCGCCGCAGACGCUCUCCGGCUUCUUCUGCUACUCCCAGCACGACGUCGGCGGCGGCCAGCGCCGUGACGCCCUCGGCUUCCUCAACCUGUCCGGGCGGGGCCGGCCGCUGGUCGACGACCCCUCCCUCCGCUUCGUGCGCGUGCGCGGCUACUGCGACGUCACGCCCCUGCACUGCUGCGGCGGCAUCCUCCUCUGCUACUGCGAGAAGGCGGCCAUGAGCGACGACGGGAACUACGUCGUGUGCAACCCUGCCACCAAGGAGAUCUGGGCCGUGCUGCCCGUGCCCCGAAACAAGAUCAUGACACGCCUCAACACCGCCCGCCUCUGCUUCGACCCCGCGGCCCCCGGCCGAUUCGUGGUGUUUGUGUUCGUGCAAAGUUUUCGCGGGAUUCAGACGGUGGAGGCCUAUUCCUCGGACACUGGACGGUGGACCUCCAUGCGGAGCGAGUGGAACCCCAAGACCCUCCUCCUCGGUGAGGAUUCAGAAUGCGUCUUCUUGAACGGCACUUUGCAUUUGGUCGACGCCGACCAUUCUGAUGCCGAUUUUGACUGGGAGGGGAACCUGAUACGCUGGAUGGUGACUGUGGACAUGGAGGGUAAAACAUGGAGGAAGAUCCGAAUGCCGGAUUCCAUCUAUAAUGGUUUCAUCGGGCAGUCGCAAGGACGCCUAUACGCAACGCAUGUUGAAACUGAAGGUAGAUGCCGGCUAUCCGUUUGGGUUCUUGAGGAUUAUGCCAGCGGACAAUGGACCCUGAAGUGUACUGCCAGCAUUUUAGAAAUGCUAGGAAGGCCUCACCAUGAGCCCGGCGAACACUACACGCUGAUCGCGAUCCAUCCAGAGUGCAGUUUGAUCUUCCUAGUAGCGAGCCGUGGAAAAACACUUAUGUCGUACGAUAUGGAUACCAGUAAACUGAGUAUUAUCUGCACUUUCGGAGACCGCCAGCCACGAAGAUUUCAGCCGUACAUUCCGUGUUUUGCGGAGAAGCCUAAAUAA